Molecule: long non-coding RNA, 522 nt
Organism: Panicum virgatum (switchgrass)
Lineage: Eukaryota; Viridiplantae; Streptophyta; Magnoliopsida; Poales; Poaceae
Exons: 2
Source: RefSeq, a predicted model, not a curated record
UGGAAAAUAUAUCAGAUUUGAAAGCAUGUGCCUGGUAAAAAAUGCAACAAAAUUAGCUGCACAAACCACGACAGCCUUGACGGUGCCCUCGAUGUGGUCGACGCCGGGGCGGAGCGGCCAUCACCAGCGCCUGCGCCGCCACCUGCUGUACGAACUAGAGGUGCUAGCUCCGAAUGAGGAAGAGACCACGGCGUCAGUUGCCUGUAGGCCCAAACGAGGUCGGAACAAGGUGCCCAAGGGUCGGUCUCUUAUUACCGAGCUCAAUGAAUUAGGUGAGCCCGUCGCUCCUGUCAAGGUGAUGGAGCUAAGUACACAAUCUAGGUGUAAUACAUAGAUCAUAUCAUUCUUAUCAAACAUUACAAUACAUUUGGUGUAUGGACUUCGUUCUUAUCAAACAUUACAAUAUAUUUGGUGUAUGGACUCUUUAUUUUAAUAUCGAUGUAUUGACUCUUCGUUUGAAUUUUGAUGUAUGGACUCUUUCGUUUAAUCAUGAAGUAUGGACUUCCAUUUAAUCUUGAUGUA